GGGGAUAUUGCACAAUGGGGGAAACCCUGAUGCAGCGACGCCGCGUGAGCGAAGAAGUAUUUCGGUAUGUAAAGCUCUAUCAGCAGGGAAGAAGAUGACGGUACCUGACUAAGAAGCUCCGGCUAAAUACGUGCCAGCCGCCGCGGUAAUACGUAUGGAGCAAGCGUUAUCCGGAUUUACUGGGUGUAAAGGGAGCGUAGGCGGCCUGGCAAGUCUGGUGUGAAAUACCGGGGCCCAACCCCGGGACUGCAUUGGAAACUGCCAGGCUGGAGUGUCGGAGGGGCAGGCGGAAUUCCUAGUGUAGCGGUGAAAUGCGUAGAUAUUAGGAGGAACACCGGUGGCGAAGGCGGCCUGCUGGACGACAACUGACGCUGAGGCUCGAAAGCGUGGGGAGCAAACAGG
This 402-nucleotide ribosomal RNA is filed under the name uncultured bacterium. RNAcentral's name for it is "bacterial SSU rRNA". It matches the Rfam family "Bacterial small subunit ribosomal RNA", at positions 357 to 776 of the family's 1533-position model. The record is from RNAcentral.